Molecule: unclassified non-coding RNA, 161 nt
Filed under: uncultured Tolypocladium
Lineage: Eukaryota; Fungi; Ascomycota; Sordariomycetes; Hypocreales; Clavicipitaceae
Description: sequence contains ITS1
Source: RNAcentral
CCGAGCCAUCAGCUCCCAAACCCCUGUGAACAUACCCGAACGUUGCUUCGGCGGGAACGCCCCGGCGCCCACGGCGGCCCGGGACCAGGCGCCCGCCGGGGGACCCAAACCCCUGAUUUGAUCUACUGUGGCAUUUUCUGAGUCUCGUGGGAAAUGAAUCA